Molecule: long non-coding RNA, 24328 nt
Filed under: Citrus sinensis (sweet orange)
Lineage: Eukaryota; Viridiplantae; Streptophyta; Magnoliopsida; Sapindales; Rutaceae
Description: long non-coding RNA (CSIN_LNC002796)
Source: RNAcentral
UUUUACAAAGAUCGCACAGGGGGAGAGAGUGAGGGUAGCACCAGCGGCGCGCAAAGAUGGUGCACGUUUCAUUCUACCGCAACUGUAUGUGCUUCUGUUUCUACAAAUGCUUCAUCUUUGUUUGAUCAUUAUUGUUCUCUUUUUUAAAUAAUAAUGAAAUACUUUGUAUAUGAUACUUUUUUCACUUUGAUGCCGUCUCGAUCUCGUUUGUUGGUGUUGUAUAAUAUUAUUGUUUGAAUCCAAAGAAAGUGUAGGAAACUUGCGACCUUUUUAUAUGUGUUAUCUGAUCCAAAUAUCGGUAACUGAGCAUCUGUUUUUUUUAGGUUUAGCCAGUAGAAUGUUUGGUAGCCGGUAUUAUAUUUGUGUGCAGAUGGAGUCGGGAAUUGUUUAAAGCUCAUUAUAGUACUCUUUUAUGACGUAUUAAUUGUUGAUGGUUACCGGUUCUUGUGAUAUUUGAGCUUAUGAUUGAGUAUGAAUCGAUGUGUGAACAGAUGGGAAAACCUUCAAGAAGCCAAGACGUCCCUAUGAGAAGGAGCGAUUGGAUGCUGAGUUGAGACUUGUGGGAGAGUAUGGGCUUCGCUGCAAGAGGGAACUCUGGAGGGUUCAAUACGCACUGAGCCGCAUCCGAAAUGCUGCGAGGGAUCUUCUCACUCUCGAUGAGAAGAACCCACGACGUAUUUUUGAGGGUGAGGCCCUUCUCAGGAGGAUGCACAGGUAUGGCUUCUUGGAAGAGAGCCAGAACAAGCUUGAUUAUGUGUUGGCCCUCACUGUGGAGAACUUUCUUGAGCGUCGUCUUCAGACCCUUGUGUUCAAGAGUGGCAUGGCUAAGUCAAUUCACCAUGCUCGAGUGCUCAUCAGGCAGAGGCACAUUAGGUAUAAUUUAUGCACUGUGUUUCCUUUUAGUUCAUAUCUGCUUUUUUCAGUGUCUGUAAAAUCUUCAAAUGCUUUUUCACAUUUGUUUCUUUUCUAUUAUUCUAACAUUUGACCAACAUGAAUUUAAAUUGCUUGUUCCAUCUCGAUGUCUAUUACUGAGUUUGUUGGUUUUAACCAUUACUUACUGAUCUUUAAUUAUUUGAUUAUUUUCUAGUUGCCUUUGGGUUGUUUAGCUGACAUUUGCUUUUGGCUUUAAAUUUUGUAAAAUUAUCUUGAGUUUGUGAAUUGUGUUUUUAUACACGUUCAGGUUAUAAUUAUAAUAUUUGAAACUUGCCCACUAAUUGAUAAUUGUAGUGUCAUAAUAUAUGUAAUGAUUCUAGCAUGUAUGGUUUACCAGUAUUGUGGACGAUCUUUUGGAUAUUAUAAUGUUUAGCAAGUUUGAUUGUACUUGAGUUUACCUUUGUAUUCUUGGGGCAUUAAUAUGCCCUGCAUGCACUACCCAGCAAAUGCUUUUGGCUCUGUUAAUCGGUGUAUUCAAAUUCUGUCACAGCUAACAUCAGGACUGCUUUUGGUUUUUUUUCAUAAAAUGUGUUGUGCUUUUUUAUCUAUUUGAUUACUUUUAACGUUGCUAUGCCCUGUCCCUUUGAGUCGACUGUUUCUCUUUGAAUGUAUGAAGUAAUGAUACGUUGUUCUUGUUUUACAAGGUUUAUUCGAGCUGGGUUGCUUUGAUGUUCUAACCUUAAUGUUUUAGUAAGAUUGUUUUGAGGUCUUUAAGCGUGGUUAUUUUGUAUAUUAAGGAAUAUCUAUAUUUCUGAUUAUCAGGGUUGGAAGGCAGCUUGUCAACAUUCCCUCAUUUGUAGUGAGGGUUGAUUCCCAGAAGCACAUUGAAUUCUCACUCACAAGUCCAUUUGGAGGCGGGCGCCCCGGAAGAGUGAAGAGAAGGAACAUUAAGGCUGCUGCCAAGAAGGCCGCAGGUGGAGAUGGAGAUGAAGAGGAUGAAGAAUAAAUUACCUUGUGUGAGCAGAUAGUUUUUUUAUGGUUACAGUAGGAACUCUGGCUGAACUUUGCAAAUCGACUUAUCUUCUCUUAAGUUUUAUGUUUUUGCUAAUUUUCUUCCUAUAAUAGGAGGUUUUGCUUGCUUUGUGCUUUACAGACUACUCAUUGAGAGAAUUGUUUUUGUUUUUUGGGAUGUACUCUUUGAUCCUUAAGCUUUUUUAUGCCUAAAUUAAAUCUCCGUGUAGUUAGCUUUUUUGUGCGCAUAUAUAUAUAUUAGAUUUAAUGGAAAAUUGUCGCUACUGCAAUGGCAUACCGAUGCGAUUGAAGCGUGCUUUUGUUAUAGAUGUGAUGUGUGUCAAAAAAUUUGUGCUCCUGGAGAGUUUCAUCUAUCAAGAAUAAGCUUGGGCUUGGGCUUUAGAUGGGUUUGUCAUUAGCUCUCUCAUUGGGCUUGUGCUUGGGCUUUUUCACACAAGAUUAGAAUCGUUGACGGUCCUCGCGCACACGUGUGAAAAGCGUAGCAUAAUCAAUGGAAAUUAGUAGCAUAAUCAAUGGAAAUUAGAAUGAGGAUAGGUUGGAAUGAGAAAGAAAUUUUAAUGUUUAUUUGAUAAAAAUAAAUGAGAAUGAAAAUUAGAAUGAGAAUGAGCUGGAUUAGAGAUGAAAUUUUAAUGUUUAUUUGACAAAAAUAAAUGAGAAUGAGAAUGUGUUGGAAUGAUGUGUUUAUUUAGUAAAAUAAAUAGGAACGAGGUGAUAAUGAAAAUUAAUUUAUUAAAAUAUUUAUAGUAUUAAUAAUUAAUUUAUCAUUAUUAAUAAUAUUAUCAUUGUUAUUAUUAUUAUUAUUAACAAUAAUUAAUAAUAACUAAAAUAAUAAAGUUAAUAAAAUUUAAUUUUAAUAUUAUCAUUAUUAUUUUUAUUUUUAUUAUUUUUAUUAUUUUUAUUUUUAUUAUUGUUAUUAAAUUUUAUUAACUUUAUUAUUUUAGUUAUUAUUAAUUAUUGUUAAUAUUAUUUUUAUUAAUAUUAUCAUUAUUAACAAUAAAAAUAAUGAUAANNNNNNNNNNNNNNNNNNNNNNNNNNNNNNNNNNNNNNNNNNNNNNNNNNNNNNNNNNNNNNNNNNNNNNNNNNNNNNNNNNNNNNNNNNNNNNNNNNNNNNNNNNNNNNNNNNNNNNNNNNNNNNNNNNNNNNNNNNNNNNNNNNNNNNNNNNNNNNNNNNNNNNNNNNNNNNNNNNNNNNNNNNNNNNNNNNNNNNNNNNNNNNNNNNNNNNNNNNNNNNNNNNNGUACGGUACAGCAGCAAUAAUUAAUAAUAACUAAAAAAUAAAAAAUAAUAAUAAUAAAUGUUAAUAAUGAUAAUAUUAAAAAUAAUAAUAAUAAUAAUAAUAAUAAUAAUAAUAACAACAACAAUAAUAAUUAAAAUAAUAAUAAUAUUGUUAAUAAUGAUAAAUUAAUUAUUUUUUAGUCUCAAAUUAUAUGGGACCCAUAUAUUUUAUUCACAUUCACAAAUUACAUUUUAUCAAGUAAACAUGAGUUAUAUUCUCAUUCCCUAAACCCUCAAAUAAACACAUUAUUAAUAUUCUUUUAAAAUCUCAGUUUGUAAAAUUAUGUCAAAGCAUAAAUAUAAAUUUAAUUGAACUAGAACUUAAUAUAACUUAAUAUAUGAUAUAGUUACUUUAUAUAAAAAUUUUGAAUAAUUAAGAAAUAAAUUACUUAAUAAUAAAAUUUUUUAUCAUGAAACAGUAUGUUUACUAUUGUUUAAUUUAUUCUAAAUGAUAGUAAGAUUAACUAAAUUUCUAUUGUAAUUUUUUGCUCUUUUUUGUAAUUUUACCUAAGAAAAUUUUUUGCUCUUUAUAAGAAUUUUAAAGGAGUGUUAGAAGCUCCCCGCUCAUUAUUUUAAAUUUUGUCAAAUAUUUGAUCCAACUUGUAGUCUGUUUUGGAGUGUGGUGAGGUAGAUAGACUUUAAAAGUGUUUGGUAAUACUUGUAGUUGGGCUUUAGCAGCUUAGCAAUUUUUUUUUCCCAACUUAUUCCACAGUUAUAAUUGUUACUCCACAUCAACUACAGGUUAAAAGUUACAGCAUCUUACUCCCAAACAUACCCUUGUUCUGUUAGAACUUGAGGUUGCUUCCGUAUUCAACAAAUGUGGGGGCGGCAGAAGACUCGCUUUUAUUAUAUUAGGGCUUGGUAAGAUGCACAAAACUUAAAGCCUAAAAGUUAUUUUUAUAACUUUAAAAAUAGUUUUAUUGAUUCAACUUUUUAAAUGCUACUCUUAGGAUAAUAUAUAAUACAUUAUAAAAUUAUAAUGUAGGAAAAAGUCUGUUUUACCCUCGGGUAUGAUAAAAUAGUUCAUUUCUUUUCUAUUAUUCAAACAAUAAUUCAACAUAUCCUUUUGUGAAUUUAUAGUUAAUUUAAUUUAUAAUUCAUUAAACGCAAAAUAAGAUUGAAUAAAUUCAAAUUAUUUUAAAAUAAAAAUAUAAAAGGUAAUUAAAUAAAAUCUAACUUUAUACAUAGAUCUAAAAUUAGUUUAAGAAUAAUUUAAUGAAACAAAAAUAACACUAAAGAAUAUGCAACAUUUGUGUGUGAGUGUGUGCAAUAUAUAUGGGUAUGUGUGUUUUUUCAAUGAAGUCAAAUAAAUUUUUGAACAAAUAAUAACAAUAAUAUUUCAAUCAAGUAUUACUAUUCACAUUAAGGUUAGAAAUAAACUAAAAAUUUUUUUUAAAAAGUAUCCAUACUAACAGUUAAUUAACGAAAGGCAUUUUUAAAAUAUUAUUUAAAAAAUAAAAAUCAGAUAAAUUAUUACAUCAAACCUUAAUGGUGAAAAAGGCAUUCUUCCUUGCAAUGCACCAUAGCAGCCCCCAGUCGGCCAUUCAUUAUUUCCUUAAAGACCGUACCUAAAAAUUACAUUGAAAACACGGGGCUGCUUCUGAAUGUUGUAAGCUUAUCUCAACAUGUUCACUGCCUUUUAUCAAUCUGCCUAUAAAAAUACUGAUCUGAUCGAAUGUCCAAUCAAUUGAGAAAAUUAAGGCUUAAAGUCAGUCAUGAUCCUCUUGACAUCAGUAGUGUAAGAUGUCAUGGAAUGUCAGCUUCACAAUUACUGGCUUUGCCUAAUUAUUGUGGCGAAAAUGAUCUAUUUCUUCAUAAUCACACCGUGCAAUGCAUCCAUUUUUUGGGCUAAGUCAUAUGAAUUUUCCAAAGUCUUUAUGUAUGUUUGGCGGUAAGUAAACUUAGAUGGGUGGGGGAUUUCUUUUUAAUUAAGUUUUCUCUCCUUCAAUUUGGUGUGAAGGUAUCUUGUAGGCCUUAUGAGAUCUAUGGUGAGCUAAAGUUAGAUAUACAUACGGGCUUUAUAAUCGCCUUUGCUUGUUGGUUCCCUUUUUAUUGGCAUCUCAAUUUAAACACUACCAGAUUUGAUAUUUGGAAAAGUCCUAAUGUAUUACAUGAAUAAUGAAAUAGUGAAAUGUGAUACAACAUUUUUUUUUAACCUAAACAUAAGUCCCAUUGAAAAAACAUAACAUUACAAUGGUAUAUUGUCAUGAUACAUUCAACGUAGGAAAACAAACAUAAAUAUCUAUUAUCGUUAAACAUAUUGACAAUCAAGAAGAAAAAAAUACAUUUAAGAUAGUAAAGAAUACUUUCAUGUAUUAAAAAAAAAAUUAUGUGUUCACAUCUAUUGAACCUGUAUUAUUUGAGCUCUUUCAUAUAAUUCUUUUUGUACAUAUAUAGCUUGUUAUCCCCACUUAUUUGAUGCAUGAAACUUGUAGAUCUAUUCUCAUAAGCUGAUCAAAGGUACCCUUAGAAUGUAGCUAUAACUUUGAAGAAUGAAAGGGUAUUCCACUCAUUUCAUUAGGGAUAUAGACCUAUUUGAUAUAAAUGGACAAAUUGUGUCCUUUCUUGGAAAGUAUUAGCAAAUCAGAAACCCAGUUGUUAUUUUGAAAAAUAACAAUUAUUGAUCCUCAAAACACAUGAAUUGUUGAACCAAAAUCAAUUUAAGUGCGCUUAAUGCAACGACAACGACAAUAAUAUGAAUUGUUGGUUAUAUUCCAUUACAUGCUUAAUGUGUGAACUGUUGGUUGUUAUUUCUUGUGCAAGUCAUGUAACAUAUUAUAGUAAUGAAUCUCUAGCAUAUAAAAAUAAGAGUAAAAAGGAAAUGAAUAAAAGCCUAGCACAAAAAGUUAAAAGAAAAAAAGGAAAAGAAAAAAAAAAUCUUAUCUUAUUGAAUAUCACCUUCCAAACGCUAAAUUUAAUUUUGAGAUUAUGGAGGAAAUUAAACAUAUAUAACAUACAAGUAAUAGCCAUGCUCGUGAUGAUCUAUUAAUAAUAUCACUAAAAUAAAUAAAUAAAUAUUACAAACGGGCGCAUUAAAAUGUUAUGAAAUGGGCCAGCGAUUUUUCACGAAAGCCCAUUGACAUUAAUAGCUCAAGCAACUAGGGUUAGGGUUUUGCAAAAUCAUAUAUAUGUAUAUAAUAGCAGUCGUUAUAAGAAGACACGGCCUCUUUACGCCAUUUGCUUAGGCUUUUUCGAAGAUCGCAGAGAGAGAGUGAGGGUAGCACCAGCGGCGCGCAAAGAUGGUGCACGUUUCAUUCUACCGCAACUGUAUGUGCUUUUGUUCAUAAUUGUUCUCUUUGUUAAAUAAUAAUAAAAUACUUUGUAUAUGAUACUUGUUUCACUUUGAUACCGUCUCGAUCUCGUUUGUCAGUGUUGUGUAAUAUUAUUGUUUGGAUCCAAAGAACGUGAAGGAAACUUGAGACCUUUUUGUAUGUACUAUCUGAUCCAAAUAUCGGUAAUUGAGCAUCUGUUUUUUUAGGUUUAGCCAGUAGAAUGUUUGGUAGCCGGUAUUAUAUUUGUGUGCAGAUGAAGUCGGGAAUUGUUUAAAGCUCAUUAUAGUACUCUUCUAUGACGUAUUAAUUGUUGAUGGUUACCGGUUCUUGUGAUAUUUGAGCUUAUGAUUGAUUAUGAAUCGAUGUGUGAACAGAUGGGAAAACCUUCAAGAAGCCAAGACGUCCCUAUGAGAAGGAGCGAUUGGAUGCUGAGUUGAGACUUGUGGGAGAGUAUGGGCUUCGCUGCAAGAGGGAACUCUGGAGGGUUCAAUAUGCACUGAGCCGCAUCCGAAAUGCUGCGAGGGAUCUUCUCACUCUCGAUGAGAAGAACCCACGUCGUAUUUUCGAGGGUGAGGCUCUUCUCAGGAGGAUGCACAGGUACGGCUUCUUGGAAGAGAGCCAGAACAAGCUUGAUUAUGUGUUGGCCCUCACUGUGGAGAACUUUCUUGAGCGUCGUCUCCAGACCCUUGUGUUCAAGAGUGGCAUGGCUAAGUCAAUUCACCAUGCUCGAGUGCUCAUCAGGCAGAGGCACAUUAGGUAUAAUUUAUGCACUGUGUCUCCUUUUAGUCCGUAUCUGCUUUUUUCAGUGUCUGUAAAAUCUUCAAAUGCUUUUUCUCAUUUGUUUCUUUUCUAUUAUGCUAACAUUUGACCAACAUGAAUUUAAAUUGCUUGUUCCAUCUGGAUGCCUAUUACUGAGUUUGUUGGUUUUAACCAUUACUUACUGAUCUUUAAUUAUUUGAUUAUUUUCUAGUUGCCUUUGGGUUGUUAAGCUGACAUUUGGUUUUUGGCUUUAAAAUUUGUUAAAUUAUCUCGAGUUUGUGAAUUGUGUUUUUAUACACGUUCAGGUUAUAAUUAUAAUAUUUGAAACUUGCCCACUAAUUGAUAAUUGUAGUGUCAUAAUAUAUGUAAUGAUUCUAGCAUGUAUGGUUUACCAGUAUUGUGGAUGAUCUUUUGGAUAUUAUAAUGUUUAGCAAGUUUGAUUGUUUACCUUUUUAUUCUUGGGGCAUUAAUAUGCCGUGCAUGCACUACCCAAAAUGCUUUUGGCUUUGUUAAUUGGUGUAUUCAAAUUCUGUCACUGCUGACAUCAGGACUGCUUUUGGUUUUUUUCAUAAAAUUUGUUGCGUUUUUUUAUCUAUUUGAUUGCUUUAAUGUUGCUAGGCCCUGUCCCUUUGAGUCGUCUUAUUUGAUUUUGUCUUUGUCAAGAUCUUAUUUUUUCAAUUUGUGACAAGGAAGUUAAAACUUUUUUUUUUUUUCUGUUGGUCAAUUAGCCGACUGUUUCUCUGUGAAUGUAUACAGUAAUGAUAUGUUCUUUUUUCUCAAAGCUUAUUUGAGCUGGGUUGCUUUGAUGUUCUAACCUUAAUGUUUUAGUAAGAUUGUUUUGAGGUCUUUAAGCGUGGUUAUUUUGUAUAUUAAUGAAUAUCUAUAUUUCUGAUUAUCAGGGUUGGAAGGCAGCUUGUCAACAUUCCCUCAUUUGUAGUGAGGGUUGAUUCCCAGAAGCACAUUGAAUUCUCACUGACAAGUCCAUUCGGAGGUGGCCGCCCUGGAAGAGUGAAGAGAAGGAACAUCAAGGCUGCUGCCAAGAAGGCCGCAGGUGGAGAUGGAGAUGAAGAGGAUGAAGAAUAAAUUACCUGUGUGAACAGAUAGUUUUUUUAUGGUUACAGUAGGAAUUCUGGCUGAACUUUGCAAGUGGACUUAUCUUCUCUAAGUUUUAUGUUUUUGUUUGCGAAUUUUCUUGCUAUAAUAGGAGGUUUUGCUUGCUUUGUGUCGCAUAUCUAUAGAUAGAUAGAUAGAUAGGUAGUUUCUGCUCCUGGAGAGUUUCAUUUAUCGAGAAUAAGCUUGGGCUUUAGAUGGGUUUGUAAUCAGCUCUCUCAUUGGGUGCGACUCGUGCUUGGGCUUCACGUGGGCUGUUCACACGAGAUUAGAAUAUUUUGCGGUGCUCGCACACACGUGUGAAAAGCGUAGCAUAAACAUGUGUUCCUUUCACACCUCUUAAUAUUCUUUUAAAAUCUCAGUUUGUAAAAUUACGUCAAAGUACAAAUAUAAAUUUAAUUAAACUAAAACUUAAUGUAUGUAUAGUUAUUUUUUAUAAAAUUAAAAUUAAAAAAUUGAGUAAUUGAGAAAUAAAUUACUUAAUAAUAAAAAUUUUACAAUGAAACAGUAUGUUUACUAUUAUUUAAUUAUUCUAAAUGAUAGUAAGAUAUACUAAAUUUCUAUUGUAAUUUUUUGCUCUUUUUUGUAAUUUUGCCCAAGAAAUAAAAAAUAUAGAAAAAUGAGGUUGUAUAAGAAUUUUAAAGGAGUGUUAGAAGCUGUUAUUUUAAAUUUUGUCAAAUAUUUGAUCCAACUUGUAAUCUGUUUGAGAGUGUGGUGAGGUAGUUAAGCGUUGGAAGUGUUUGGUAAUAUUUGUAGUUGGGCUUUAGCAAUUUAGCAAAAAAAAAUUUCCAACUUCUACUCCACAGCUAUAAUUUUUACUCAACAUCAGCUGCAUGUUAAAAGUUACAGCAUUUUAUUCCCAAACAUACCCCGAUUCUGUUAGAGCUUGAGGUUGCUUCCGUAUUCAAUAAAUGUGGGGACAUCAGAAGACUCGCUUUUAUUAUAUUAGGGCUUGGUAUGAUGCACAAUACUUCAAGCCUAAAAGUUAUAUUUAUAAAUUUAAAAAUAGUCUUAUUGAUUCAACUUUUUAAAUGCUACUAUUAGGAUAAUAUAUAAUACAUUACAAUGUCGGAAAAAGUCCUUUUUACCCUCGGGUUUGAUAAAAUAGUUCAUUUCUUUUAUAUUAUUCAAACAAUAAUUCAACAUAUCCUUUUGUGAUUUUAUAGUUAAUUUAAUAUAUAAUUCAUUAAACGCAAAAUAAGAUUGAAUAAAUUCAAAUCAUUUUAAAGAAAAAAUCUAAAAGGCAAUUAAAUAAAAUCUAACUUUAUACACAAAUUUAAAAUUAGUUUAAGAAUAACUUAACGAAACAAAAAUAACACUAAAGAAUAUGUAACAUUUGUGCGUGAGUGUGUGCAAUAUAUAUGGGUAUGUGUGUUUUUUCAAUGAAGUCAAAAAAAAUUUUGAACAAAUAAUAAUAAUAAUAUUUCAAUCAAGUAUCACUAUUCACAUUAAGGUUAGAAACAAACUAAAAGAUUAAAAAAAAUACCCAUACUAACAGUUAAUUAACGAAAGGCUAUUUUAGAAUAUUAUUUAAAAAAUAAAAACUAAAUAAAUUAUUACAUCAAAUGAGAAAGGCAUUCUUCCCUGUAAUGCUACCAGUCAGCCAUUCAUUAUUUCCUUAAAGACCGUACCGUGCUACCAACUUGUCUCAUGGUUACUAAAAAUCACAUGGAAAACAUGGGCUGCUUCUGAAUGUUGUAAGCUUAUCUCAACAUGUUCACUGCCUUUUAUCAAUCUGCCUAUUAAAAUACUGAUUUGAUCGAAUGUCCAAUCAAUUGAGAAAAUUAAGGCUUAAAGUCAGUCAUGAUCCUCUUGACAUCAGCAGUGUAAGAUGUCAUGGAAUGUCAGCUUUUCACAAUUACUGGCUUUGCCUAAUUAUUGUGGAGAAAAUGGUCUAUUUCUUCAUAAUCACACCGUGCAAAUGCAUCCAUUUUUUGGGCCAAGUCAUGAAUUUUCCAAAGUCUUUAUGUAUGUUUGGCGGUAAGUAAACUUAGAUGGGUGGGGGAUUUCUUUUUAAUUAAGUUUUCUCUCCUUUUUAUUGGCAUCUCAAUUUAAACACUACCGGAUUUGAUAUUUGGAAAAACCCUAGUGUAUUACAUGAAUAAUGAAAUAGUGAAAUGUGAUACAGCAUUUUUUUUUUUAACCUAAACAUAAGUCCCAUUAAAAAAACAUAACAACAUUACAAUGGUAUACUUUCACGAUACAUUCAACAUCUAUUAUCGUUGAAUGUAUUGACAAUUAAGAAGAAAAAAAUACACUUAAGAUACCAAAGAGUACUUUCAUUGAAACAAAAAAUGAUGUGUUCAAAUCUAUUGAACUUGUAUUAUUUGAGCUCUUUUAUAUAAUUCUUUUUAUACAUAUAUAGCUUGUUAUCCCCACUUAUUUGAUGCAUGAAACUUGUAGAUCUAUUAAAGAAAAAAAAAAGUCAUUAUACCCCACCACAAUAAGUUAAAAACAUAAGUUCAUCCCAAAUUAAUAGAUUAUUCACGAAGAUUUCUACCUUCAAAAGGAAGUCUGUUUAUCUUCUCUCACACAAUGAUGGAAUGAAAAGAUAAAUAAAUAUAUAAAUAAAGUAAUAGGGAACCCCAGUUUUAUGAAUCUUUUUUUUUUCUUCCCAAUUAAGUAAAUUUACUCUAUUUUUAGCCAAUAGUUAUCGUAUCAAAUUAUUAUGUAUUGAUCUUAUUGCAUGAAUUUGUAAUUGUGCCAUGAAUUAUGUGUCAAAUUAUUAGAAAGAAAUUUGCCUCUCCAUUCCAAGUAAUAGAAACAGAAGUACCAACUGAACCUAACCCAAUAAUAAAAAAGAGUUUUAAAAGCAUCAAACUCUGUCCAGUUAAGGGUAAAACAAGUCGAAUUUCCCGUUUAAUACGCACAGAGCAAUAAAGGGCAACUACAAUCUGAUGGGAGUUCGCAGAGCAACGGUGAAUAAUUUAAAACUUAUUGAUGACAAAAAUUACAAGUGGUGGGGUUGUUGUGUUUCAUUUUCAUAUGGGGUAUUAUUAUUAUUAUUAUUAUUAUUACUGCGUGUCUAAAAUUGUUGGGAGCAGAAAUGAAAGACGAUUUCGUAAAGGAAAGUAGGAACAAACAGCUAUCAGGGACCAGGCUGUGCCUAUAUGUCAUUUCCUUCUCUCACCGAUCUAAAAUUGAAGUGUCGUAUUUCAAUUUGCCUAGUUGCUUCUGUGGAUUUGGAAUCUGAAGUUGACACCCAAACCACCAUUCUCCUUGCAAGUUUCAUCUGUUUGGCUAUUGGAUCCGUGGCCAAAUAAUGUUAUUACGUCAUUGGCUAAUUCAUGCCUAAAUCCCAUUGCAUGCUGUUGUGAUCCAAUCAUCUUUCUGUUUUCCCUCAAUCAAUCUUCUCUCGAGCUCACAGAUCCGAUCAGCUGUGGUGGCUACAUUAUUUAUAUUAUUAUUAUUAUUAUUAGCAUCGUUUCUUUCCAAUUAAAACAGCAUAAUAUUUCGUAUUAAAAGAGUCAAGAAUAGCCAAUAAUAUAUCAUCGCAUAGGUGUAAACACAAGGUCAUUUCCUGCUUCUUAAGUAUCGUAAAUUAAGAUAAUGUUUAAGAUUAAAGCUUAAAUUAGGACAACGACUAAUUAUAAAACACAAUUAAAACUACAUUUCAAUUAAAAGAAGAAUCGGGUGCAGUGUCGGCAACAACACACUGUUACCAACAACGCAAUGGUGUCACAAACACAAAGAUAAUUAAUGUCACUAAAAUAGAGAAAACUAUGGUGCAACGGUGGAUCCAACGGUCGGAUGCAGCGGUGUCACGGUACCACCGUUGCACCGUAGCUUAACCCCACUAAAAUACAUCGACGCACCACAUUUUAAGCGAACCUAAACGUUGAGCAAUAACAUCGGCAAGUAUUCAUAAAGAAAGAAUGAGUACACACUUGCACUCCAAAAACCCAGCCAAAUAAAAAGUCAACAUACAUAUGCACUCCACGAUAUGAAUGUCCAUUUCUUUCUAUUGUUCAAGUUGAAACCAAAAAACUAACCUACCAAUAUCUCGUAGGGAUCAAUCAAAGGAACCAAGAGAUGAAAAGAAAAAGAAAAAAGAAAGUGGAGGGCAAAAGAGAUGAAGAACAGAUUCAACAAUGGAAUAAACGGAGUUGGAGAAAGAACAACCUUAACUUGACCGAAGUGACUCGGACUCGUACUGCACGAACCCAGUUGGAGAUGAAAUUUUAUACCUACGUACGUGAUCGUGUCUGCCAAUACACUGUCCCAAGGAUUCUCAAUUCCAUUAUCCAUCCGCCUGGUCUUUCCUUGCUUCUGGUUCCAGAUUUACAUCACCGUUUCUUUAUUUAAAUAACGUUUGAGGAAUAAAACUCAGUUGUCUAUGGGUUACAGCGAACACUUCAAGAAGAUGCAUUAAUUAUUUUCAAGUUUUUUCUUUUUUUUUUCCCCCCUUCUUUAAAAAUUCUCACUUAUUUACCAUUAUUAUUGCUUGCUGCCUUUGGAUAUGUCAAAGAUAAAUUAUUAGAGAUAUAAGGUGAAGGCAUCUAGAUGCCUUGGUGUUUUAAUUCGCAACUGCGGUGAAAUGAGAUCGCUAGUUCAUUACCAUUGGGGAAAAACAACUUUUAUUUUUUAAAACAAACAUUACUUCUUUUAAUUUGAUGGAACACAAUAGUUACACAAGGAUAACUCUAUUAAAAAUGACGUACACAUAUAAAAUUCAAGUUACAUUAAUCGGCCUCUCCUGUAAUAUGGAUAGAGAAAAGUAAUCCUCCUGAUAUAUAUAUAUAUAUAUAUAUAUAUAUAUGCUGCUGUACAAAUAACCCUCAUCACAAACACCCAAGUUAAUUUGACACUUUCAAUUGACAUGAUUAUAGGAUUUCUAUAAGAUUCAUCCUCUCUAUGCCUUGAAAAUGUCCAAUUUGAAAUUUGAAAGUUUUGGAUCUAGAAAGAAAUUAUACUAAACACCUACACUCAAAAGUCAAAACUCAGCACAUAUCUAAAUAUGAUAUAUGGAAUAAAAUAGAGUCACAAAUCAAUAACAACUCCAUAUUAUGGAGGAAUCUGCCUUCAUUCAACAUACUGGAUACCGAAGAUAGAUUAGUCUUCGGCAGACAGAAAAGAUGAGAAAAUUGAAGUUCUACAGAAGAGGCGGCGUUGGAGAGGGAGAGCAAGUCAGAGUGAAUUUAAUAUUUUUGAAAUAUGAUGAUCAGGUCCUGAGAUUCUUGUCGAUGUUAUGAAAAUAUCAACCGGAAAAUCAAGAAUAUUCAAGCAAAAAGGAUCGUGACGGGUACGGCACGGCCGUUAACGACCACAUCAAAUUGACAUCAUGCCUGUCAGUUUCCAAUCAUAGAAGAUAAAUUAUGGGUUAAUGGACUUGGAGUCCUUUAGGACCCACUGCCUCUAAUUGCACACAAAAUCGGUCUAUCAAAACAUCAUUACACGCUAUUUUGGAAAAUUGAUGGCUGUUGUUAGUUUGGCUUAAUUAAGAAGAUAACACAUGAUGGAUAGAUGCAUAAAAGUUAAAAACAGAUAUGUUCUAAAAUCUCAGAUCAUCUGGACAACCAACCAUCAAAGAAACCAUGUAUUCUUUUGGUUAUCUACAUUACACGUCACGCAGCACCGUGAUUAGCGACGUAUUUGUCUUUGCAAUUCGAGCUACGAAAUUUUCAAUUUCAUUGUUUGAAAAAAUACCUUUAGAAUUCAUCAAAAAUCCUAUGGAAACAUCAAUAACGCUGUGGGUAAAAUAAUUUAAUCGAAAAUUAUCUCUACACUAUACUAUCUUUUUUUUUUUUAUCAUACGUACAUCUAAUUAUGAUAAAAUUUUAAUAUGUACUUUACACCAUCUUUAUUUUUAAGUUUAUAUCGAUCAACUACUUUGAUACUAAAAAAUAAUUAUUUUUUAUCAUUAAAUGAAUUAAAAAAAUAAAAAAAAAUUAUAAUAAAUCUUGGCUUUCGACAAUCUUAAUCCCUUAGUCCCACUUCCCAGCAAGGGAUUAAUAAUGAUCACAAGUCCUUACUCCUUAGAGGUCGAAUGCUUAUUUAGCAAUGGUUUAUGUAUUUUAUUAAAGUGCAUAUUACAUUAUUAUGUCAUACAAUGUAAUAAUUUGUUCGUACUCCAAUGAAGUACGAAAUCUCGUUGAAAAAUUUCUAUUGAAAGGUUAUGGGUUUGGUGUCUCAUUGAUGAUUGUGAAUCCAUAAUAUUAUCAUCAUCUUAUUGAAGUUAGGGUGGGUAAAUUUAGAGCCCAACCAGUCUGAUUAGAUUUCAGAUUAAUUAGAUUUGAGAAAAAAAUAAUCCAAACUCAAUUUAAAUUCAUGAAAUUUAAUCCAAUCAACAUUUAAUUCAAUCAAAUUGAACGGAUUCCUAUCUAAUCGAAUUGAGGGGUUCAUUGGCAUAUUUAAUUCAGAUCGAAUCAAGUUAUUUACACAUCCUUGGACCCGCAAAAUUAUAGUGGGCAAGCCUUGAAACGUAGCCGUCUCAAUCAAAGAGGAUGAUGCAUGUAACGACUAGAAUUGUGUAACAAUGCCCAUCAUCAUAUUCAUAUGUGGACAAUGGACAUGGCAGACACACACAUACCAUCGCCACCUUUUGUCACAAUCACUAUAAUGUCGGCCGGACCCCACCACCUGUUCCCAGUUCAUAUGUGGUCCCCAAUAAUUGUCUAGUUGCCGUUAGAUUAUUCUAAUCAUCAUCAUCAUUCAGGCCCCCCACCGAAGACAGCACGUACGAUCCAUCACAUCAUAUCACCAUGUCACGAGCCUAUUCCUGUUUUAUUUUAUUCUCAUAAUUUUUUUUUUAUUAAAGUAGUACCAAUGCACAUUUUUUUAAUUAAUUAAACUCCAAAGAAUUUUAUAGUCACUUCAUAUAAAAUAUAACAAAUUAAAUUCAUAUGAUAAUACAUAAAUUUAAACAAAAUAAGAGUAUUUCACAUUAAACUUAUAUUUUUCGAAUUUGCUAUUUCUUUAAUAAUAUUAUAAUCUAGGGCUUCGAUGGGUGAAGUUUAUGAAAAAAGUCUGACAAUUAUUUUUUGACAAAAUAAUGAAGUGGUAAUUGAAAUUUUAAAAGCGUUUAUGGCUCAAUAAAUUACUUUUAGAAAACAAUUUCUUACAUAUUUUCCAAAACUGAAUGCCGCGAAAAAUUAAAAAAAAAAUUACAAAAUUAGCAUAUUUUAACAGAUUUAUCACCUACUUUUUCUUGUCAAAACUUUAAAAAAAUAAAGUACUUUUAAUCCCAAACAUAAUCGAGAGCACUGAGCAGUAAAGCAUCUUCCAUGUUUUAUCACUUACAAAAAAAACAAAAAUUAUAUAUGUGUGUGUGUGUGUGUGUGUACAUCCUUCGAUGUCAAGUUUUUCUUCAGACCAAAAGCAUAAGCGCGUGUAAUGCACGGUCGCGGUAAAAGCGGAUGGUAUUAUUGACAUUUUCUUCCUUCCACAAAAAUAUUAUGAUUAGUUAAAUUAAUUACUUAAUUAAAAAUUCAUUAGUCAUUGAAUCAUUUAAUAUUCAUUAAUUAAUUUUAUUAUUAAUUAUCAACAUAUUAUUUUCCAAUUCACGUCAAAUAUCUUGAGUAAUCGCAGCAUCACCCCUCCCAUAUGGCCGCACUUCAUUUUUGUGCCCCCAUCCGUAACUGUCUAUAAAGGGACAAUUUUGUCUUUUGACUGUGCCACCGGGAGUGACUGGUGUGCCCAUGGAAACUCUGUAAAGAAAAAAAAAGUUGAAAUAAAAAAAAUGAAAACUUUUUCACUUAUAUUUCUUCUUCUAAAAUUUUAUAUUCUAGAAACAAGAGACGACAUAUGGAUAAAUUUUAAGUUUUGUUUUACACAAAAGAAAAGAGAGGGACCAAAAUGAAACCUAGAAAUUUCUCCAUUUUUACGAAUCACUCCCGCUCACUCCUAUCUAAUUCAUUUUGAACCCCUACUAAUUACUUUCACCCUAAUUUUUAACUUCUUAGCUUAUAACAUCUAAGCUACAUGAAAAGUUGAGACUGUAACAAGGUGUAGUAAUUAGCAGCCUCAUCCUCAAGAUCCCACAAGCCAUCACAUAAAGCCAAACAAUCCGCACUACUAAUCCCUACUUCAUCAGAAUCAGUACUGCUGUUAUUAGCACCAGAAGCUUCCAUAGAUGGAAUCCCAAGCUCAUCAUCAGAGGCUUCAAGAAGAUGUCUCAUGACUCUCUCUUUAUCAUCAACUUCAUCUUCCUGGUUUGAAGAAUGAGAAGAAGAAGAAGAAGAAGAAGAAGAGAUAAUGGGGUCGCUGGAUUCUUGGUCAUCGUUAGUGUUUGGACAUGGGAUAGAGUCGUGAGAAGAAAGCUCAUGCUGCAAGCUUGUCAUUAAAGAAGACAAGUCUUGAGCUGGCUCUUCUUCUUCAGCUUCAUCAAGCAAAGACAGUAUGUGGUUGUAUGAUGAUGGCUUGUGACGCUUUGUUUCUUCAACUUCAACUAAUUCAUCUAUCUGUUUCCCUUCUCUUUGGCGUUUUAAUGUCGACUCAGCCAUGAUAUGGAGGAGAAAAAUUUAACAAACAAACAAAGCUAGAGCUUUGUUUAAAGGCAAGCGUUGAAAGAAAAGUUGGAAGGUACUUGAAUGAAAUGCAAGUAUGAGGAGGGAGAUAAGGGGGGAUACGAAGGUUUAUAUAGAGAUUGAAGCAAAGUGUAGUUCCGGUCAAAACGAGUUAAACAAGAAAGCGAGAAUAUUUAAUAUGUUGUGUGUUUGUGUGUUUUUCUUUUUUAUUAUUAUUUAUUAGAGGGGAAAAAAAAGAUGCUCAAAUAAAAAAGAAAGAAGAGAUUAUUGUCACACUCAUGAGUUGGUCUUCCUUGGAUAUGAACCGUUGGAUGUAACUUUCUUUGGAGAUUUGGGAUACCGAUGAAGAUCGGACGGGUGAUAAUUGAAGGGGUGUCGGACAAAAGAGAGUUGAGGUAAUGACAAAAGUGGACAGAAGAGGUAAUUACAUCAACAAAGAAAAGCCAGACAUGCGUAAACCGAGGCGGGUUACACUUGAAACACAAAAAGUGGCAAAAUCUCUUUAUCUUUACUCGGUGGUCUAAAAAAGUUUUAAAAAAAAAAAAUUUGAUUAAUUUGUUUUAAUAUGUACGAAGCAGCAGUGGUAAGUUUCUGAACACAGACAAGAUAUCUAUCAAUAAUUAUGAAUUGUAUCUCCAAUCGAUCAGCUUUACAGAGUUCUACGGACGGUCCAGAUGGGUUUGCAGGUGAAGUGUCCGUGGCUGAUGAGACCUAGUUUAAUAUCUCUAGGCGUUAUUAAGAGGGACCUGUCUAUGGUACAGAUUCUGUAACAAAUAUCUCCCGUCAUCCCACCAUCCGAUUUUCUAUUGCUUAAUUUCUCACUCCACAUCUAACCACAUCCAACGGCUGAUGCUGCAGUCUGUAGCUUACAGAUUCUGUAAGCUAGUCAAGUCCUAUUAAGAGUUUCGAGAUGAAGGGUAUAAUGGUGAUUAAGGGAAGGUUUGGACGUGACAGACCACAUGACUACACGAGGGAGAAGGGGGCGAUUGAUGACUGAUCAUGUGAUGGACGGAUGGGCUGAGCUGAGCUGAGGAGGUGAAGGUGCAGCUGCACCAACUCCAGUCCACAAUUGCAGUCACGUUUGAUGGGACUUUUAUAUAAUAUAUGUAAUUGGGUCCACCUACAACAAUAGUACGGUACAAUUAUUAUUUUCAGCCAUUAAAUUUAAUGACUGAUUAUACUAUACCACUGAUGCAAUAUAAUUUUACCCUAUCUAUCUAAUUAUGUAUCAUAAAAAGACACUGUACAGUGUUUGUACGAAAUGGAAGCCGCGGCCUCAACUUGUGAAAAUGCGAUUGUUCCUUCCUUGCGCUCAAAACUUAUCUUUCGUCUUUGGAUUAAGGACCACACGUGCAUCAAGGUGGAAACCAAAAAUGGUUACUUGAUGAAAUCCCCCUAUCGCCAUCCUUAAGGUAUCACCUGUAUCUCUCUGUACUCAUAUUCUGGUCUAAAAAUAUUCUUCUUAAAAAUUUAAAGGAAAAAAAAAUAAAAUACUUCCUGGGCUUGUAAUAAAAUUUGAUUAAAUAUGGAAAUUUGUGUUAUUGGUUAUAGCGAUCCUUUUUUUUUUUUAUGAAUAUAAUAAGUCUAUAUAAUUAUUUUCAAACCCAAUAAAAUCUCUUUGCACAAUUGAACUAAUAACUUUAGGUCGUUAACGGAUUCCCUAACUAAACUAUAAUCGGAGGCUUGCAAAAGUCUAAUUUCAUUAAAAUUAGGGCACAAUUUACAAGAUCUAUAUAGUAUAAUUCAAAAAUUUGCACUAAUAAAUGUGAGUUUUACACUUUUGCUACCACUGCUAACUAUGUAGACGAUUGCAUUGUUGAAGGAAGAGAUAGUGAGAUACCAACCGCUUGGCCGUAGAGUAGUUGAAAGUUUCCAAACCAAAAGAAUAUACGAUUCCAAAGCCCUUUUUAAUUUGGCUUUCAGUUUUUAUUAUUAUAUACUUUUUUUUCUCCAAUAAUUACAUAAAUAUUGUGAGUACAAAUCUUCUUACAGAAUCAAUUAAGGUAGAGAUUAAAGAUUGAAAAAUAUAGUGGAAUAUUAAUAUAUAUACCCAUUUAAAGUUAAUAUUCGAAGAUAAAAUUCAUUUGGUCCCCAAAUUUGAUGUGAGUGUUUAAUCAGGCUACCAAAAAGUUGGUUAUAACUGGCGGUUUCCUCUUAAUAACAAACUUGUAACAGAAAAAGAAGGUACAACCAAUUUUGUCAACAAUGGAUAAUUCUCCCCCAUUUUAUUAUUAACUAUACGUCUAUAUAAAAACUUUUGCUCACUCUUUACCCCCCUUCCUGCUAAAAAGUUGUAGGAAAAAAGACCAUACGCCGUUCCUUUAAAAUCACCCUCACGAAUCUUAUUAAAAUUUUGAGUAAUAUAUUAGGCCGUUCCUUAAGUUACAAUUGGAUGAGCCGAAACUUAGGCUAAUAGAAACAGUGUCAUUUAAAAAAAAAAAAAAACGUGGGUGAUGGAAGUUGCGAAUAUUAUUAACUUAACAAGACUGGUAAUAAUAUGAUAUAAAGUUGGAAUACCAAAUUAUAGUGUUAUAAAAUCAAUCUUUAUUACGUAGAUGUAAAAGAGUAAGAUAAUUUAAUACCGGAUAAAAGUUCAUUUAGUCCUUAUUUUUUAAGAUUAUUGGUCAUUAGUCCCUAUAUUUUUUUUAAUAAUAACUCAAAAUAUCCAUGUCAUUAAAUUAUUGACACCCCUGCCAUUACUUUUUAUUCAUUUUGACCUAUUUUUAUAAUAUUACCACAUUACAAUAAUUUUUUUACAUUAAUAAAAAGAAAAAAUUAAAUUACCAAUAGAAACAAAAAUAAUAUAUAUUAAUUUUAUUGAACAUUCUACCGAAGAGUUAAUAUAAUUAUUUUUUAUUAAUGUCCAAAAAAUUGGUAAUUUAAUUUUGUUCGAUAUUAAUUUUUUUUGGAUAUCCAUGAGCUUUUACAAAAAUAAUAUAUAUUUUUUUGUUUUUAUUUUAUUUUUUGGGAUUAAAAUGGUAAUUUAAUUUUUUUCUUUUUAUUAAUGUCUAAAAAAAUUAUUGUACGAGGAUAGUAUUGUAAAAGCAAGUAAAAAAUAAUAAAAAGUAACAAAAGGUGUGUCAAUAGUUUAACGGUAAGAAUGUUUUAAAGUAUUUUUAAAAAUUAUAGAGACUAAACAGAUACUAACAUCAUAAUAUGAUAAGUAAAUGAAUUUUUACUUGUUUGAUCCCUUGGUAAAUGAAUUUUUUUAGUAAUAUCACAUCAUGUGUCAUAUGAAUUUGUACAUCAAUUUUAUAAGCAUUAUGUUAUCAUAUAAAUCUUAUCUCUUGUGCAUCCUAAUCACUACUUGCCGAUUCUAAGAUACGUGAAUAACCUAAAAUUUGGAUAUACAAAAGUAUUAUAAAUACAUAUUAGUUGUAAAAAAUGAUUCUUUUUUUUUUCUCCCUCUAAGGACAGGUAAGGAGUGUCUUUCCAAAAAGGAUGGUGAAAUAUAUUAAGGAAAGAAAUUCUUUUAUGAGGAAAAAAAAAAGAAAUAGAUUAUAUAUAAAAAAAAAAAAAUUCCCUAAGAACUUAUCAAUAAAAACGAAAGGUGAGUUUGUUUGACCACAUUGAAUAAUUAAUUUCCCUAUGCUCUGAGUUCCGGCUCUUUUUUUUUUUUUUUAAAAAAAAAAGGGGCAAAUGCUACCCCAGAGGCGUUUUAAUUGCGUGUCUUAUGGAGAUUUGCACUUGUAUUUGAUGUGGAUCGUGCAACUUUUGUCUUUUUAAAUCUCAAUUUAACAAUCAAGAUUAAAGACGACCAAACGCACUUCAACUGCAACGAGUUAAGCUGCAACAAUUAUUUUUAUUAUGGGAUUAUGAUCCAAAUCACGUGGGCCGUUUAGAUUCAAUCAACUCAACUGACCCAUUAGAAAGAAAAAAAUAAUAAUUAAAUUAAGUUAUAUCUCAAUUUGCUUAGUUGUUGCUCGUUGGAAUUAGAGAUCUAGAUCGCUUGCUGUCGCUCAUAGCUUAAUUAAUUGAUUUUAAUCAAUUAAAAGAAUGGCGUCCUAAGAGACAACCAAAUCUUCAGUAAUGAGAGAACUCAACCGUCUGACCUCUGAAUUUAUGCUGCUUUUUUUCUGUCUUUUUAUUAUUACACCUUAGGUUUGACUGGAAAAUUUGUUUAUUUUUUAAGAGAGAAGCGAGAGAAAUUUUGCAUCUAUAUUUAAUUUUUGAGUAAUGAUACAGCCACAAACUCUUGUACAAACUUAUUUUGUAUAAAUUGAUGUGGCAUGAUAAGAUUGGUUGAAUUAAAUAUCACUUGGCCCACAUGAUUUAUUUUUAUUAAUUUAUAUUUAAGAUUGGUUGAUGAAUGAAAAUAUAAAUUAAUAAAAAUAAAUCAUGUGGGCCAAGUGAUAUUUAAUUCAACCAAUCUUAUCAUGCCACAUCAAUUUAUACAAAAUAAGUUUGUACAAGAGUUUGUGGCUGUAUCAUUACUCUUAAUUUUUUGAGUGUAUUAAGCAUAUAUGCACCUCACGUGACACACAUGUAGCGAUCUUAUUGGAGUGAGUGUGUCAUCAUGACAGCGAUAAAGAAAUUAAACCAUUUAUGUUUAUCCUAAUUUUUUUAAUUAAAAGUUACACACGUACUAACAAACAAGCCUAUAAUUAUUGUAAAACAAAUUCUCGAUGUCAUAUUCUCAGCGAACGAUUGUAUUUCCAUGGAGGUACUUUCGAAUUCCUGAAAGUCUGAGGUCGUAAAAUGAAAUUUAACCAUUUCUUUGUCAUUUUAGCAUUUUUCACCCAUCGUUUUUUUUUUUUUUUUUGGUGGUGUGUUUUCUACCCAAUCGAACAAAAACGACUUGGAAAAGAGUCCGAAAAUUAACAUCGGUGUUAUUGGAGAUAGGACCAAAAAGUUUCGUUUGUGGGUAUCCCUGGACCAAAAGCCUUUUCCGAAGUACUUGUUUCGUCGAAAUCCCAUAAUGGGAUUUGCUAUUAAUAACAAAAAUGUUGUGGCAUAAAAAAGAUAAAGAGAUGGAAACCCCAUGUGGAUGUGGGGAACAUGAAAAGUGCUUUAGCAUGUGCGUGUGGAUGCGGUGAGUGGACCUAGUUUUAAGGGCACGGCCAGUUGCGGCAAUAUGAAUAGGCCUCAUUAGGGUUAGGGCACUCACUGUCCCAUUAUUUUUUUCGAGCUGGCCACAUCGUGAUUAUUAGGUUAAACAUAGGCGAUGCCAGGGCAUGAAAAUUUAGAUUGUAAGUUUCCAUUAGGUUAGGUUGGUGCCUCAACCACUGGGCAUAUGGACCAUUUUAUUCUAUCUUGUACUAGUUUUUGUUGGCAGUUGCUUUGCGUUGCCUUUAGGGUUCAGCUUUUGUUUUAAUAAUAAUAAUAAUAUUCAACAGCCCAAAGAUUGUUAAUUUCAAAUUAUUCGAUUUCAAACCUCGAUGAACUUAAUCAAUUCUUGUUCUUCUUCUUCUUUUUUUUAAUGAUUGGACUUUUUAUGUGAAUUUGGAUUAAGAAUCUCUCACUCCGGAUCUGAACUUCUCCUGAACAAAAAUUAACGUAUUAAUUAGAGGUUAAUAAAUUUUAAAUGUAAAAAAAUUAAAUUAUAUUCAUAUAUUAUUACUACAUGACAUAAGAUCAUUAAAAGCUCCGAAUGAUUUAGAUGGGAGAUGAUCCUAAUCUUAUAAAUUCACAUGAAAUUAUUUUGAUACAAACUUCUCCACUACUUGUUAAUUAGCAUUAAUUCACCUGUUUAGAUAAUCGAGGGAUCAAAUUUUCUAUGAAAAAAUUUUGAAGUCCUUAAAUUAGUGUUGAUUUUUUUUUUAUCGAUAAUGCUUUUUCAUUAACUUUGCAAGAAGUGAAAAAGUAAAAGUAGGUGAUUCAGAAACAUCUCAUUUUAUUCCUUCUGAUAUGAACUCUGAUGCAACACAUACACAGAGGAUGACUGUAAGAAAAUUAAAAAAUUAUUAUACAAAAAGAAAGUCAUAUAUACAUGUGUGUGUGUAGAAACACACUGUAAUUAAGGACAUUAAAAAAAAUGAGAAUAUAAAAUGAGAGUGUUUGCAUUUAAGAAUAAUUAAUUUACAAAAUAAGAGCAUCAUCAUCAUCCAAUUAAUUAGUAUUUGAUUAUGAACAAUUGCCUAACAUUCAUGACUUUAUACAUUUAAAUAUUUGCUUACCCAACGGCAUAUACUAUUAUACUUAAUCUUCAAAGAUUACAAAAUCAAUGAUAUUAACAGGUAACAGCCCGCAUGCCCUGAAGAGUAACUAAAGUUUCUUAAAAAUUUAUAAUAUGCAUAUGUCACUGAUGUAACACUAUAUAUAAUUAAUUCAAUUUCAGACAUAAUAUUGUUAAGCGAAAAAUUAAGCUAUUGACCCCAGAUGCCACAUGUUUAAGGGAUAUAAUGAUCAUAAUUAAAAGUUAAUCAAACUUGACCAUUCUGGAAACAUUUUAAUUAAUCACUCAAAUCCAUUUUAGUUAAUCACUACACUGUGUCUACUUUUUCUUUCGUUGAAUGUUCUCUACCGUCACGUCUAGAGUAUUUAAAGUCUGAUUAUCUUUAAUCGAUAUUUAAGAUUUUCUUUAUGAGAAUAAUGUUAUAGUUAUUGAAUAUUUAACAAGGCUAAAAAUUUUGUGCAUAUUUAUUGGCCGAGAGGAAGAAGCAUCCUCUGAGCUUAUCGUUACAGUAUCUUAAAAGGGCAGGCCAAUUAAAAGUUAAAAUAAAGGAAAUGAGAAAUAUAUACGUAAUGGAGUUGAAGAUAUUGUGGUCUUUCCAUAAAAAUUAAUUAAAAAAAUUGAAGGUAGAAAAAUAGAUGGUUUCUACCAUAAUGAACAAUAGUACUAGGGACCUUAAUAUUUGGAUCCCAGUUUAUAUCUCAAAUAUAUAAAUUAUUCAUUUAUUAAGUUAAAUUUCAUACUUAGUUAAAUUUAAUUAUUAAAGAAAUUAUUAUUAUUAUACCAUUCAAUAAAUGAAACACAUAAGUUGUAAUCUUCAAUUGUUUUCAAUUUUGGCAUUCCUGAGAGAUGCCAGCAACUAAACAAAUGAUGAUAACGAAUGCUUUCUAAUAACAAAAUCUUCAAUUGUUAAUUUCUUCACAUUAUAAUUAUAUAUAAAUUUACUUUAUUUUUGCAUCUUCUUCUCUCUCUCUCUCUCUCUUUUAAACAAUAGCCCUUUUGAUUAUUAUUAUCUAUGUUGUUUGGUUGUAUAUUUCCUGACAAACUCAGUUGUUGCUAUUUUGCAUAAUGAUCUACUUUGUUUCUUCAUUUUUUGGCCAGGGGUGUUUGAUUGGUGGAGGUUAAUUGGCAACCCAAUUUGAUUUGGCAAUCCAAAUCAAAUUAGCAAUUCAAACCAAAAUGUUAACCCAAAUUUUCAAUGUGAACCAAAUCAAAUAGCAAACUUGAACUGAUCCAAAGCAAAUUAAUUUCGAUUUGGUUCGAUUUAGAUUUGUUGAUAAAACUCGAAUGGGUUGUAAUCUAAACUGAAACUGAACAAUCCGGACCGAAAAAUGAUUUAUCUACCCCUACUUGAGAGUUCAAACUCAAAGUUGAUAAAAAGAUAAAACUUCUCUAAUAGAUAAAAUAUUACAAAUAGACUUGAAAGCUUAU